GACGAACGCUGGCGGCGUGCUUAACACAUGCAAGUCGAACGCUGAAGCUCAGCUUUUGUUGGGUGGAUGAGUGGCGAACGGGUGAGUAACACGUGAGUAACCUGCCUCCUUCUUUGGGAUAACGCCCGGAAACGGGUGCUAAUACUGGAUAUUCACUGGUCUUCGCAUGGGGGUUGGUGGAAAGGGUUUUUCUGGUGGGGGAUGGGCUCGCGGCCUAUCAGCUUGUUGGUGGGGUGAUGGCCUACCAAGGCUUUGACGGGUAGCCGGCCUGAGAGGGUGACCGGUCACAUUGGGACUGAGAUACGGCCCAGACUCCGACGGGAGGCAGCAGUGGGGAAUAUUGCACAAUGGGCGCAAGCCUGAUGCAGCGACGCCGCGGGAGGGAUGGAGGCCUUCGGGUUGUGAACCUCUUUCGCUCAUGGUCAAGCCGCAACAAUGGUUGUGGUGAGGGUAGUGGGUAAAGAAGCGCCGGCUAACUACGUG
This 483-nucleotide ribosomal RNA is filed under the name uncultured bacterium. Its description in RNAcentral is "partial 16S ribosomal RNA". It matches the Rfam family "Bacterial small subunit ribosomal RNA", at positions 28 to 507 of the family's 1533-position model. The record is from RNAcentral.